GAUUAACGCUGGCGGCGUGCCUAACACAUGCAAGUCGAACGAAGUGGCGGACGGGUUAGUCACGCGUGAGUAACCUGCCUUAGAGAAGGGGAUAGCCUUUGGACACGAAGAAUAAUACCCUAUGCUCUAAGAUGGACUUGCGUCUUAUUAGUUAGUUGGUGGGGUAACGGCCCACCAAGACAGCGAUCAGUAGCCGGCUUGGGAAAGUGUACGGCAACAUUGUGGCUGAGACACGGCCCAGACUCUACGGGAGGCAGCAGUGGGGAAUUAUGCACAAUGGGGGAAACACGGAUGCAGCGACGCCGCGUGAUUUAGAAGGCCGUCGGGUAGUAAAAAUCGUUUCUAUGGGAAGCAGUACCAUAGGAAUAAGGACCGGCUAAUUACGUGCCAGCAGCCGCGGUAAUAC
This 406-nucleotide ribosomal RNA is filed under the name uncultured bacterium. RNAcentral's name for it is "partial 16S ribosomal RNA". It matches the Rfam family "Bacterial small subunit ribosomal RNA", at positions 28 to 526 of the family's 1533-position model. The record is from RNAcentral.